RNAcentral lists this ribosomal RNA (330 nucleotides) under uncultured bacterium. RNAcentral's name for it is "bacterial SSU rRNA". It matches the Rfam family "Bacterial small subunit ribosomal RNA", at positions 568 to 898 of the family's 1533-position model. The record is from RNAcentral.
UGCGUAGGCGGCUCUAUAAGUAUGGUGUGAAAUCUCCCGGCUUAACUGGGAGGGUGCGCUAUAGACUGUGGGGCUAGAGGGUGGGAGAGGAAAGUGGAAUUCCUGGUGUAGCGGUGAAAUGCGUAGAUAUCAGGAGGAACACCGGUGGUGUAAACGGCUUUCUGGACCACUUCUGACGCUGAGGCACGAAAGCGUGGGUAGCAAACAGGAUUAGAUACCCUGGUAGUCCACGCCCUAAACGAUGCAUAUUUGGUGUGGGCCAUUCAUUUGGUCUGUGCCGGAGCUAACGCGUUAAAUAUGCCGCCUGGGGAGUACAGUCGCAAGGCUGAA